CCUAGGGCGGGGAAGAUGCCAAGGGACUUGCCCAAGGUCGCCCAGUCAUUCCUGACAGAGUCUGGACUGGAGCCUGGGGCCUGCUCAGUAAACUGGAAACAGGAGAACCCCCUGAUUCAAGAGUUAUGUUUCAGGACUGGUUCACCCCCAUGCCACACCCGCAGCCCAGCCUCUUCCAGAAGGAUCCCCAGGAUCACCCUGGGGUGGGUGAAGGCAGCCCACAAGUCCAGCUGCCAGGUGACCACAGCAAGAGGGCACCAGUGUACAAACCAGGAAGAGAACUCUCCCGUAGGAAGACGGGCUUGCACCUUGAUCUUGGACUUCCCAGCCUCCGAACCUGAGAAAUAAAUGUCUGGCACUUUA
Long non-coding RNA from Suricata suricatta (meerkat), 363 nucleotides. RefSeq lists it as uncharacterized. The transcript has 2 exons. NCBI's taxonomy places the organism in Eukaryota, Metazoa, Chordata, Mammalia, Carnivora, Herpestidae. The record is from RefSeq and is a predicted model, not a curated record.